This is a non-coding RNA of Phoenix dactylifera (date palm), 489 nucleotides long. The record is from RefSeq and is a predicted model, not a curated record. Lineage: Eukaryota; Viridiplantae; Streptophyta; Magnoliopsida; Arecales; Arecaceae.
GAGGUCCUGGGUUGUUACAAUUGCCGACCGUAUGAGCAAAGAGAUCACUGCACUUGCUCCUAGCAGCAUGAAGAUCAAGGUGGUGGCACCACCUGAAAGGAAGUAUAGUGUCUGGAUCGGAGGUUCCAUCUUGGCUUCUCUAAACACAUUCCAGCAGAUGUGGAUAUCCAAGGCAGAAUAUGAUGAAUCUGGACCAGCCAUUGUUCACAGGAAGUGCUUCUAGAUGUUCUUUCAGGAUAUUGGUUCUGCAUCUUUAUGUAUCUGAUGGUAGUAGAUGCAUCCAAGGUAUGGUCUUGUUGGUUGGUUAAUUUUAUGUUUGAUUUUUUUUUCUUUUUUGCCCUUUUUUUGAUUUUUUUUUUUGUUGGUUGGACUCGUUUUCCACCUUGUUAUAUCGGAUAUAUUGUUAUCUAAGUAUGCUAGAUAUGUACCUGUGCAAGUAGUUUGGAUUGAGCUACUCUGAAGGUCAAUGCUUUGCUGAAAUUUCUACAA